GAUGAAGAACGUAGUGAAAUGCGAUACGUAAUGUGAAUUGCAGAAUUCAGUGAAUCAUCGAGACUUUGAACGCACAUUGCGCCCCCUGGUAUUCCGGGGGGCAUGCCUGUCCGAGCGUCAUUGCUGCCCUCAAGCACGGCUUGUGUGUUGGGCCUCCGUCCUCCUCCCGGGGGACGGGCCCGAAAGGCAGCGGCGGCACCGCGUCCGGUCCUCGAGCGUAUGGGGCUUCGUCACCCGCUCUUGUAGGCCCGGCCGGCGCUUGCCGACACAUCAAUCUUUUUUCCAGGUUGACCUCGGAUCAGGUAGGGAUACCCGCUGAACUUAAGCAUAUCAAUAAGCGGAGGA
This 345-nucleotide unclassified non-coding RNA is filed under the name soil metagenome. RNAcentral describes it as "partial contains 5.8S ribosomal RNA, internal transcribed spacer 2, and large subunit ribosomal RNA". The stretch from base 1 to 120 matches the Rfam family "5.8S ribosomal RNA", at positions 35 to 154 of the family's 154-position model. The record is from RNAcentral.